RNA transcript from Carya illinoinensis, 10588 nucleotides. RefSeq lists it as uncharacterized. Lineage: Eukaryota; Viridiplantae; Streptophyta; Magnoliopsida; Fagales; Juglandaceae. The transcript has 4 exons. The record is from RefSeq and is a predicted model, not a curated record.
GCAGGUGUUUAUGUGUGUGUGUUCAGGUAUGUGGGCACAUGUGUUUGUGUGUGUGCGCUUGUGUAAAGUGCUUGCGUGUGUGUGUUUAUCUCUAUGUGUAUUAUUUCUUAUUUUUUAGUAAAACUUUGUUUGUGUACAUGGGCAUUGUGCAUGCGUGUGUGUGCAUGUGUGCUUGUGUGUGUGUUUAUGCAUUUAAGUUUGCGUGUGUAUGUGUGUGUGUGUUUGAGUGUGUAGGUUGUGGGAUUUGCUCAUUCUUAUGGAUAUGCCACUAAUACCGUUGCAGAGUGUCGGGCUUUUCUUAAUGGUUCAAAAUUGUGUCACCAACUUGGUCUUAAAGAUUUUUUUAUUGAAUCUGAUUCAACGAUUAUAGUUGGUUGGUUUAGGUCGAGUGUAUGUAAGUUUUGGUAUUUAUGAGAUUUUUGGAAAGAAGCUCUUCAUUUGUUUCAGCUGAUGAAUGUUAGAGUUUGUCAUAUCUUUUAUGAAGCUAAUAUGGUUGCGGAUUUCCUCUCCAAAGGUGCAAAGGGUCGGACUUUAGAUUUUAUGGGUGAGGAGUUUAGAGAGAGACGGUUUUGUGGCCUUGUUCGAACUGAUAAAUGGGGUCUUCCAUACAUUAGGCAUUAAUGCUUGUAUUUAUGGCUUGUCUCCACCUUAAUGAGGUUAUUAAUAAAUAUGGAGCUCUUGCCUCUUAUUAAAAAAAAAAAGAAGAAGUUGUGUGUGGAUGUGCGUGCAUGUGUAUAUAGUUGUGCGUGUGCGUGUAUGUGUGCAAGUGUUCGUUUGAGUGUAUGUAGGUGUGCAGAUGUGCACGUGUUCGUGCAAUUUUUAGUGUGCAGAUGCGUACAUGCAUGUGUUUGGGUGUGCGCACGUGUUUGUGUGUGUGGGUUUGUGUGUGGUGCUUACAUGCGCUUGUGCAUGUGUGUGAACAGGUGUGCAUGUGUGUAUGGUUUUGGUGGAAGUUGUACAUUUUUACAAGCAUGCAAAGGUGGGUGGUUGGGUGUGUAUAUUUGGUGCACAUGUGCAUGCAUGGUAUUGGUUGAAGUUGUACAAGUUUUUCAAAAAUGCAAUGGUGAGUGGGUGUGGGUGGGUGCAGGCUUACAGGUGUGCGUGUCUAUGGGCGUUUGCCCGUGCGUGUGUACAUGUGGGUGAAUCUGUGCACUUAUGUACACAUAUGUAGUAUUGACUGAAGCUGUGCUGUUCCAAAAGCAUACAAAUGUAUAUUGUUAACUUUUAAGUAAUUGUCUCUCACUUUAAAUCUUGCAAUUUGUUUAUGUGUUUAUUUUUUCUUAUUUUUAGUAGAGCUCUAUUUAAGUUUGCAUGCCCGCGCAUGUGUCAGUAUUUAUAUGGAUAGGUGGGUGGCUUGGUGUGCAAGUUUAAGUGUGUAUAUUUGGUGCACAUGUGCAUGCUCGAUAUUGGUUGAAGCAAUACAAGUUCUUCAAACAAGUAAAGGUGAGUGCAUGUGGGUGCAGGCUUCUAGGUAAGCGUGCUCAUGGGCGAAUAUGCGUGUGUGAGUUUGUGCACUUCUUUAUGUGUGUUUGGUAUUGAUUGAAGCUUUAAUGUUCCACAAGCAUGCAAAUGUAUAUUCUUUCUUGCUUUUGAGUAAGUGUCUCUCGUUUUAGAUCUCACAAUUUAUUUAUGUACUUAUUGUUUCUAAGUUUUGAGUAUAGUUUUAUUUGUGUGCAUGUGUAUUGUGCAUGAGAGUGUGCACGCGUGUAUGCUUGUGUGUUUGGGUUUGUGCAAGUGUAUGUGUGUGGUGUGUGUUUUGGUGUGUGCAUGUUCAUGCGUGGAUGAGCAAGUGUGCGUGCAUUGCGUGUGUUUGGAUGUGUGGGGUUUGAACGCUUGUAUGCGUGUGCAGUAGGGAUUGUGUGUGUGUGUGUGUUUGGGUGAGUGGAUUUGUGUGCGGGUGUGAGUGCAUAAGGGUUUGUUUGCGGGUACGUGUGUGUGUGGGUUAUUAGAUGCAUUUGUGUGGUAUUAUCUGAAACCGUGGAUUUCUACAAGCAUACAAGGGUGUUGUUUCUACUUUUGAGUAAAUGUCUCUUGCCCUCAAAUUCGCUAUUUGUCUCUAUGCGAAUUGUUUCUUAUUUUUAGUAUAGUUUUGUUUGUAUGCAUGGGCAUCAUGCUUGCGGGUGUGCAUAUGUGCUUGUGUGUGUGUUUGUGCGUUUGAGUGUGUGUGUGCGUUGUGUGUGCAGAUGUGCGUACGUGCUUGUGUAUCUAGAUGUGUGUGUGCAUGUAUGUGUGCAAGUGUGCGAUUGAAUGUAUAUUUGUGCUCGGGUGUGUAGGUGAAUGCAUAUGUGCUUGUGUUUGUGCAUAUUUGAGUGUGUGUGGGUGCGUGCGCUUGUGCAUGCAUAUGUGAGCAGGUGUGCAUGUGUGUGUGGUAUUGGUUAAAGCUGUGCAUUUUUACAAGCAUGCGAAUGUGGUGUCUCUUACUUAUAAGUAAAUGUUUCACUCUCAAUCUUUCUAUUCGUCUAGUGCAUAUUGUUUUAUAUUUUUUUAGUAAAACUUUGUUUGUGUGUGCAUGCGAGCGCAUUUGUAUGUUUAUGUGCACAGGUGGGUGGUUGGGUGUGUAUAUUUGGUGCACAUGUGCAUGCAUUGUAUUUGUUGAAGUUGUACAAGUUUUUCAAGCAUGCAAAGGUAUCGUUUCUAACUUUUCAAUACAACUCUAUCACUUGCUCUCUCUAUUUGUGUCUCUGUGUGUAUAUUUGUAUUCUUCAUUCUUAGCAUUCAGUAUAUGUGCGUUUGUGCAUGAUCCAGUGAUUAUGGGUGUGGGUGGGUGAAGGCUUGCGGGUGAGCAUGCUUGGGUGUGCAUAUGUGCUUGUGUGUGCAUUUUUGCAUUUGAGUGUGCGUGUGUGUAAGGUGUGUUUAGAUGUGCGUGCAUGUGUGCGUAUGUAUAUAGUUGUGUGUGUAUGUGUGCAGGUGUGUGUUUCUGUGUAUGUUGGUGUGUGGGUGUGUGCAAAUGUGCGUGCGUGUGUGCAUUUUUUAGUGUGUUUAGGUGUGUGCAUGCCCGUGUUUGUGUGCAGUGCUUGCAUGCGUGUGUGGUAUUGGGUGAAGCUAUACAAUUUUACAAGCAUGCAAAUGUGGUGUUUCUUAUUUUGGAGUAAAUAUCUCUCACUUUUAAUCUCUUUAUUCAUUUUGUGCAUAUUGUUUCAUAUUUUCUUAGUAGAGCUCAUUUUGUGUGUGCAUGCUCAUACACGUGUGUGUUUUUGUGUGCAGGUGGGUGGUUGGGUGUGUAUAUUUGAUUCACACGUGCAUGCAUGGUAUUAAUUGAAACUGUACAAGUUCUUUAAGUAUGCAAAGUAACCAUUUCUAACUUUUCAAUACAACUUUCUCACUCUUACUCUUUAUUUGUGUCUCUAUGUGCAUAUUUGUACUCUUCAUCCUAAGUAGGACUUAGUAUAUGUGCGUUUGUACAUGUGCGGGUUAGUGUGGGUGUGGGUGGGUGCAGGCUUGCAGGUGAGCAUGUCCGAGGGUGCUACUCGUGCAUCUGUGGAGAUGGGUGUGUGCGCGCUCUUAUGUCCGUGUGUGUAGUAUUCAUUGAAGCUAUGUAAUUCUACAAGCAUGCAAAUGUAUGUUGUUUCUUGCUUUGAGUAAGUGUCUCUCACUUUAAAUCUUGCAAUUUGUCUCUGUGCGUAUUAUUUUUUAUUUUUUAGUAGAGCUUUAUUCGAGCUUGCAUUUGCACGGGCGUGUGUUGGUGUUAAAGUAGGCAGGUGAGUGGCUGGGUGUGUAGAUUUGGUGCACACGUGCAUGCUUGGUAUUGUUUGAAGCAGUACAAAUUCUUCAAAUAUGCAAAUGUACCAUUUCUAACUUUUGAAUAUCCCUCUCUCACUCACUCUCUUUAUUUGUGUCUCGACGUGUAUAUUUAUAUUCUUCCUUUUGAGUCAGACUCAAUUAAUUUGUGUCUGUGGAUGUGCAAUUGGGUGCAUGCUUAUUGGUGAUCGUGUUUGUGGGCAUCUAUGCCUAGGUGCGUUUGUGCACUUCUGUAUGUAUGUCUGAUAUUGAUUGAAGCUUUAAUGUUCUACAAGCAUACAAUUGUAUAUUAUUUCUCGCUCUUAAGUGUCUCUCGCUUUAGAUCUCACAAUUUGUCUAUGUGCAUAUUAUUUCUAAGUUUUUAGUAGAAUUUUGUUUGUGUGCAUGUGCAUCAUGCGUGCGAGUGUGCAUGCAUGUGUGCUUGUGUGUUUGGUUUUUUACGGUGUACGUGCAUGCGUGCAUGGGUGUGUUUCAUGUGAUUGCAUGUGCAAGUGCAUGUGUGUGUGUGUGUGUGUGUAAAGGUGUGCAUGCGUGGGUGUAUGUUUUGGUGUGUGGCUGUGUGCUUGUGUGUGUUAGUGUGUUUGGGUGUGCUUGUGUAUUUGUAUCUCUCUACAUAUUGUUUCUUAUUUUUUAGGAAAGCUUUGUUUGUGUGCAUGAGCAUCUGCAUGCAUGUCUGCAUAUGUGCUUGUUUGUGUGUUUGUGCAUUUGGGUAUGCGUCUGUAUGCAUGUGCAUGUGUGCCCUUGUGUGUGUUUGGGUUUGUGUGCAUGUGUGCUUGUGUGUGUUUGUGUUUUAGUGUGCAUAUGUGCUUGUGUUUUUGGGUGUGCGUGCGUGAUUGUGUAUAUAGUUGUUCGUGUGUGUUUGCAUGUAUGUGGAUGUUUGGGUGUUUUGGUGUGUGUGUUUGGGUUUGUGUGUGAGCUUGUGUGUGUGUUUGUGUUUGUAUGCUUGUGUGUGUAUUUGGUUGUGCAUGUGUGCUUAUGUGUGUGUUUGGGUGUGUACAAAUGUGCGUGUGUGCGUAUUCGUGUAUGUGUGCAGGUGUGCGUGCCUGCAUGCAUUUUUUAGUCUAGUCUGCAUACAUGCAUGUAAAGAGGUGUGCGUGCGCAUGUUUGUGUAUGGGGUUUGUGUGCGGUGCUUGUGUGCGCUUGUGUAUGCGUGUGAGUAGGUGUGUGUGUGGUAUUGGUUGGAGCUGUACAUUUUUACAAAUGUGCAAAGGUGGUGUUUCUUGCUUAUGAGUAAAUAUCUCACUCUAAAUCUCACUAUUCGUCUUGUGCGUAUUGUUUGAUAUUUUCUUAGUAGAGCUCUGUUUGUGUGUGCAUGUACUCGUGCAUGUGUGUUUAUGUGCGUAGGUGGGUGGCUCGAUGUAUAUACUUGGUGCACAUGUGCAUGCACGGUAUUGGUUGAAGCUAUACAUAUUUUUAAAGCAUGUAAAGGUACCGUUUCUGACUUUCCAAUACAAUUCUAUCGCUCACUCUCUAUUUUUCUCUGUGGAUAUAUUUUUACUCUUCCUUCUUAGUAGGACUCAGUAUAUGUGCGUUUGUGCAUAUGCGGUUGAGUGUGGAGAUGGGUGGGUGGUUGCAAGCCCUCAAGUGAGCGUGUCCGUGGGCGUCUGCCUGUGCAUGUGUGCAGGUGGGUGUGUGCGUGCACUUGUGUACAUGUGUGUGGUAGUGAUUGAAGCUGUGCAGCUCUACAAGCAUGCAAAUGUAUAUUUUUUUGGCUUUUGAGUAAGUGUCUCACUUUAAAUCUCCCAAUUUGUCUAUGUGUAUAUUGUUUUUUCUUUUUUAGUAGAGCUUUGUUUGAGUUUGCAUGCACACGGGCAUGUGUCAGUGUUUAUGUGGGCAGUUAGGGGUGAGAUUUGGCUCGUUUGGACCGACAAAACCGACCGAACCAACCAUUUUUUCACCGGACCGAACCGAUUCGGUCCAAAUUUCAAUGGACCGAACUCGUUCGGUCCAAUCCUGGUCUAGGGGUUUUUCACCCUAGGCCAGGAGUUUGGUCCAAUCCAAGUGAGAAAACCCUGGAUCUAAUAGGUACGGUCUAGUCUACAAAACCUCACAGGACUGAACUCUCCCUUAUGGGCAGGUGGUUGGUUGGGUGUGCGCGUCUGGGUGUGUAUAUUUGGUGCACAAAUGCAUGCUGGGUAUUGGUUGAAGCAGUACAAGUUCCUCAAACAUACAAAGCUACUAUUUUUAACUUUUUAUAUCCCUCUCUUACUCACUCUCUCUAUUUGUGUCUCGACAUGUAUAUUUGUAUUCUUCCUUUUGAUUCCGACUCAGCAUAUGUGCGUUUGUGCAUGUGCAUGUGAGUGUAAGUGUAAGUGGAUGCAAGCUUGUUGGUGAGCGUGUUUGUGGGCAUUUGUGUGUUUGUGCACUUUUUUACGUGUGUCUGGUAUUGAUUAAAGCUUUAAUGUUCUUACAGAAUGCAAACGUAUAUUGUUUCUUGCUUUUGAGUAAGUAUCUCUCACUUUAGAUUGCAUAAUUUAUCUAUAUGCGUAUUGUUUCUAAGUUUUGAGUAGAACUUUUUUGGUGUGCAUGUGAGUGUGCACAUGUGUGUGCUUGUAUGUUUGGGUUUAUGUAGGUGUGCGUGCAUGCUUGGGUUUGUUGUUGGUGCUUGUAUGUGCGUGUGUGCAAGUGCUCGCCCGCGGGUGUAUGCAUGUGUGUGCAUGUAUAUGUGGGUGAGCAGGUGUGUGUGCGUUGCAUGUGUUUGGGUGUGCACGUUUGUAUGUUGUAUGCAUGUGUGUGCGUGUAUAUGUGGGUGAGCAAGUGUGCAUGCGUUGCGUGUGUUUGGGUGUGCAUGUUUGUAUGCGUGUGCGCAAUGGUGUGUGUGUGUGUGUGUGUGUGCGAGUGUGGGUGCAGGUGUGCGAGGGUUUGUUUCCAAGUACACGUGCGUGUGGGUUCGUCGAUGUGCUUGUGUGCAUGUGUGUGAGGUAUUGUUUGAAACUGUACAUGUCUACAAGCAUACGUGGGUGCUGUUUCUCCUUUUGAAUUAAUGUCUCUUACUCUCAAAUUCGCUAUUUGUCUCUUUGCAUAUUGUUUCCUAUUUUUGUGUAAAACUAUGUUUGUGUGCAUGUGGGUGUGUGGAUGUGUGCAUGUGUGUUUUGUUAUGUGCGCGUGUGUAUGUGUUUGAUGUGCAUGUGUGCAAGGUGUGUGUGUAUAGUUGUGCGUGUGUGCAUGCAUUUUUUUAGUGUGUGCACGGUUGUGUACAUGCGUUUUUUAAGGUGUGCUCGCACGCGUGUUUGUGUAAUGUGCUUGCACGUGCGUGUCUUUAUGCAUACUAUUUCUUAUUUUUUAAUAAAGCUUUGUUUGUGUACGCGUACGCGCAUGUGUUGGGGUCGGUGCACGUAUGUGUUUGUGUGUAUGGGUUUGUGUGUGGUGCUUAUGUGUGCUUGUGCAUGCAUGUGUAGCUAGUGUGUAUGUGUGUGUGGUAUUGGUUAAAGUUGUACAUUUUUGCAAGCAUAUAAAGGUGCAUAUAUGUGUGCAUGCAUGUGUGUCUUUAUGCGUACUAUUUCUUAUUUCUUAAUAAAGCUUUGUUUGUGUGCAUGGGCAUCGUGCAUGCAGCUGUGCAUGUGUGUCUGCGUGUGUGCUUGUGUGUGUAAAUGUGUAUUUAGGUAUGCAUGUGUAUGUGUGCUUAUGUGUGUGUGUUUGGAUAUGCGUGCAGGAUGUGUGCAGAUGUGCAUGCAUGUGCAUGUAUGUGUGCAUGUGUAUGUUUGCGUGUAUGUAGGUGUUUAGGUUUUGGGUGUGUGCAAAUGUGCAUGUGUGUGCAUUUUUUAGUGUGUGUGAGUGCGUACGUGCAUGUGUUGGGGUCGGUGCACGUACGUGUUUGUGUGUAUGGGUUUGUGUGUGGUGCUUAUGUAUGCUUGUGCAUGCAUCUAUGGCUAGUGUGCAUGUGUGUCUGGUAUUGGUUAAAGUUGUACAUUUUUACAAGCAUGCAAAGGUGCAUAUAUGUGUGCAGAUGUGCAAUUGUGUGUAUGUAGGUGUUUGGGCGUGUGCAGAUGUUCAUUUUUUAGUGUGUGCACGUGUGUACAUGCAUGUGUUUAGGUAUGCGCGCUCACAUGUUUGUGUGUGCAAAUUUGUGUAAGCGCUUGCAUGUGCGUGUCUCUAUGCAUAUUUUUUCUUAUUUUUUAGUAAAAUUUUGUUUGUGUGCAUGAGCAUCGUGCAUGCGUGUGUGUGCAUGUGUGCUUUUGUGUGUGUUUGUGCAUUUGGGUGUGCAUGCGUGUGCUUGUCUCUGUGUGUGUGUGUGCAAGUUGUGUGCAGAUUUGCAUGUGUAUAUAGCUAUGCAUGUGCAUGUAUGUGUGCACAUAGUUGUGCGUGCAUUUUUUUAGUGUGUGCACGGUUGCAUACAUGCGUUUGUUUAGGUGUGUAAUAAAACUUUGUUUGUGUGCAUGGGCAUCGUGCAUGCAGGUGUGCUUGUGUGUGUAAAUGUGCAUUUAGUUAUGCGUGUGUAUGUGUGCUUAUGUGUGUGUGUGUUUGGAUAUGCAUGUGUGCAAAAUGUGUGCAGAUGUGCAUGCAUGCGUGUGUAUAUAGUUGUGCAUGUGCGUGUAUGUGUGCAGGUGUGCAUUUGCGUGUAUGUAGGUGUUUGGGUUUUGGGUGCGUGCAGAUGUGCGUGUGUGUGCAUUUUUUAGUGUGUGUGCGAGUGCGUACGUGCGUGUAUUGGGGUGUGCGCAUGUACAUGUUUGUGUGUAUGGGUUUGUGUGCGGUGCUUAUGUGCGCUUGUGCAUGCAUGUGUGGCUAGUGUACAUGUGUGUGUGGUAUUGGUUAAAGGUCUACAUUUUUACAAGCAUGCAAAGAUGCAUAUAUGUGUGCAGAUGUGCGAUUGUGUGUAUGUACGUGUUUGGGCAUGUGCAUAUGUUCAUUUUUUAGUGUGUGCAUGUGUGUACAUGCAUGUGUUUAGGUAUGCGCGCUCACAUGUUUGUAUGCGGAUUUGUGUUAGGUGCUCGCAUGUGCAUGUGUCUCUAUGCAUAUUUUUUCUUAUUUUUUAGUAAAAUUUUAUUUGUGUGCAUGGGCAUCGUGCAUGCGUGUGUGUGCAUGUGUGCUUGUGUGUGUUUGUGCAUUUGGGUGUGCGUGUAUGUGUGUGCAUGUGUGCUUGUGCUUGUGUGUGUGUAUGCAAGUUGUGUGCAGAUUUGCAUGCGUGUAUAUAGCUAUGUGUGUGCAUAUAGUUGUGCGUGUGUGCAUACAUUUUUUUAGUGUGUGCACGAUUUCGUACAUGCAUUUGUUUAUGUGUGCUCGCGUGCAUGUUUGUGUGUAUGGGUUUGUGUACGGUGCUUGUGCGUGCGUGUCUUUAUAUGUACUAUUUCUUAUUUUUCUAAUAAAGCUUUGUUUAUAUGCAUGGGCAUCAUGCAUGCAGGUGUGCAUGUGUAUCUGCAUGUGUGCUUGUGUGUGUAAAUGUGCAUUUAGGUAUGCAUGUGUAUGUGUGCUUAUGUGUGUGUGUGUUUGGAUAUGCGUGUGUGCAGGGUAUGUGCAGAUGUGCAUGCAUGCUUGUGUAUAUAGUUGUGCAUCUGCGUGUAUGUGUGCAAGUGUACGUUUGCGUGUAUGUAGGUGUUUGGGUUUUGGGUGUGUGCAGAUGUGUGUGUAUGCGCAUUUUUUAGUGUGUGUGCGAGUGCAUGCAUGCAUGUAUUGGGGUGUGUGCACAUACGUGUUUGUGUGCGAUGCUUAUGUGCGCUUGUGCAUAUGUGUGUGGUAUUGGUUGAAAUUAUACAUUUUUACAAUCAUGCAAAGGUACAUAUAUAUAUAUAUAUGUGCAAAUGUGCGAUUGUGUCUAUGUAGGUGUUUGGGCAUGUGCAAAUGUUUAUUUUUUAGUGUGUGCACGUGUGUACAUGCAUGUGUUUAGAUAUGCACGCUCACAUGUUUUUGUGUGCAGAUUUGUGUAAAGUGCUUGCAUGUAUGCGUCUCUAUGCAUAUUUUUUCUCAUGUGUUAGUAAAAUUUUGUUUGUGUGCAUGGGCAUCAUGCAUGCGUGUGUGUGCAUGUGUGCUUCUGUGUGUGUUUGUGCAUUUAGGUGUGUGUGUGCGUAUGUGUGUGCAUGCGUGCAUGUGUGUGUGCACGCAAGUUGUGCAGAUUUGCGUACGUGUAUAUAGCUAUUACGCGUGUGCAUGUAUGUGUGCAAGUGUUCAUUUGCGUGUAAGUAGGUGUUUGGGUGUGUGCAAAUGUGUGUGUGCCUGCAUUUUUUAGUGUGUGUGUAGGUGCGUACAUUCGUGCUGAUUGAAGCUAUGCAAUUCUACAAACAAGCAAAUAUAUAUUGUUUCUUGCUUUUAAGUAAGUGUCUCUCACUUUAAAUCUUGUAAUUUUUUUGUAUGUAUUGUUUCUUAUUUUGUAGUAGAGCAUAUUAUAUAUAUCAAGAUAAAUAUAUUUUUGACAUAAUAAAUUAUAAUAUAUAUUUUUUUUAUAAAUAUAUUUUUAUAUAUUUAAUCAUAUAUUCUCAACUUAUAUAGUGUCCAAUGUGUAAUCAGUAAAUCAAAAAAAUCAGGUCAAAUUGGAUCGAAACUAAAAAAAAUUGAAAGUUUCGAUUUUGGUAAUGAAUUGAUCUAUAUCGAUUUUUAAAUUUUCAAGAUCGGUGUAUAUCAAUUCAAUUAUAAAAUUUGUCAAAAAUCAGACUGAAUGGACUAGUUACACCCCCAACACCAACAAAUGAUUUAAUGCCAACGCAGAAUUAUCUUUUUCUUGGAACAAUAGUAAAGUUGGAAGCUUCAAAGAGAACAAUAGUAAAGUUGGGAACAUUGAUGACAACAUUGGUUCCUUGUCCGUAGAACUCUCUGAAGAUGAUCUCAAAGAAAUUUGUGAGGCAGUGCGCUUUCUCAAUUUUCUUGGAAAUUUGCAAAUAACCCCAUCAAAAUAAAAUAUUUGCCAAUUUAUUUAUGCUUU